This 301-nucleotide ribosomal RNA is filed under the name uncultured bacterium. Its description in RNAcentral is "partial 16S ribosomal RNA". It matches the Rfam family "Bacterial small subunit ribosomal RNA", at positions 509 to 807 of the family's 1533-position model. The record is from RNAcentral.
CAGUAGCCGCGGGAAUACGGAGGAUCCAAGCGUUAUCCGGAUUUAUUGGGUUUAAAGGGUGCGUAGGCGGUUCAGUAAGUCUUGUGUGAAAUCUAUGGGCUCAGCCCAUAGUCUGCACGGGAAACUGUCAGGCUUGAGAAUGGGAGAGGUGAGUGGAAUUUCCGGUGUAGCGGUGAAAUGCGUAGAUAUCGGAAGGAACACCUGUGGCGAAAGCGGCUCACUGGACCAUUUCUGACGCUGAUGCACGAAAGCUAGGGGAGCAAACAGGAUUAGAUACCCCCGUAGUCCCUGUCUCUUAUAC